RNAcentral lists this ribosomal RNA (253 nucleotides) under uncultured bacterium. RNAcentral's name for it is "partial 16S ribosomal RNA". It matches the Rfam family "Bacterial small subunit ribosomal RNA", at positions 524 to 776 of the family's 1533-position model. The record is from RNAcentral.
UACGGGGGGGGCAAGCGUUGUUCGGAAUUACUGGGCGUAAAGGGCUCGUAGGUGGCCAACUAAGUCAGACGGGAAAUCCCCAGGCUCAACUUGGGAACUGCGUCUGAUACUGGAUGGCUUGAAUUCGGGAGAGGGAUGCAGAAUUCCAGGUGUAGCGGUGAAAUGCGUAGAUAUCUGGAGGAAUACCGGUGGCGAAGGCGGCAUCCUGGACCGAGAUUGACACUGAUGAGCGAAAGCCAGGGGAGCAAACGGG